AUCUUCUUUGACUAGGCUUGUCAAUAGCGGGUAGCUGUUUAAAGUCAAAUUAGGGGUGAUAAAUAAAUCGGUGGUUAUUAUAUCUAUUUUAGGGGUAAAACUUUCGGUUAAGAGGCUGGGUGAAGAGAUCUAGCCUCGUUUUAUAUCUUGUGUGUCUGUCUGAUUUCCUAGGGUUAGGGUUACCCGUGGGGUUUUAUAAUGUUAUAAUUUCUCUAUAAUAGUCUUGUGAUUAGACCACACACUCCUAUUUAUUAACUUUUGUCAGUUAUUUAUGGGUUAAUUAGUAAUUAUAUCAGUCCCCUUUUAUCUCGGGCCUGGUCCGACUGUUUAUUAAAAACAUUUCCACCCGUUAGGGUUGGGUGGUGUAACCUGCCCUGUGAUUAGUUUAACGGCCGCAGUAUUGUGACUGUGCGAAGGUAGCAUAAUUAAUUGCCCCGUAAUUGGGGGCUUGUUUGAAUGGUUUAACGUGAUCAGUGUUUAAAAUAGGGUCUUUAGGUGAAGUUAAUUUGACGAGUACAGAAUCUGUCGAGAUUAGUAAGACGGAAAGACCCCAGGAUCUUUUAUUUUUGUUUGGGGCGAAUUUUGUUGUUUCAACAAUUUUAGGACCCUCGGUUUAAAGGUUUAAGUUACCCUGGGGAUAACAGGGUUAUAGUCC
Molecule: ribosomal RNA, 655 nt
Filed under: Isoglaridacris sp. 1 AW-2020
Lineage: Eukaryota; Metazoa; Platyhelminthes; Cestoda; Caryophyllidea; Caryophyllaeidae
Description: partial large subunit ribosomal RNA
Rfam family: Archaeal large subunit ribosomal RNA (bases 315-474)
Source: RNAcentral